GACGAACGCUGGCGGCGUGCUUAACACAUGCAAGUGGAGCGACGAACCAGAGCUUGCUCUGGGGCAGAGCCGCGAACGGGUGAGUAACACGUGGGUAACCUACCCCAAUGACCGGGACAACCCGAGGAAACUCGGGCUAAUACCGGAUGUGCUCGAUUACUUCAAGGUUUUUGAGUAAAGAUAGCUUCGGCCUUCGCAUUGGGACGGGCCCGCGGCCCAUUAGCUUGUUGGUGAGGUAACGGCUUACCAAGGCGACGAUGGGUAGCUGGUCUGAGAGGACGAUCAGCCACACUGGGACUGAGACACGGCCCAGACUCCUACGGGAGGCAGCAGUGGGGAAUCUUGCGCAAUGCGCGAAAGCGUGACGCAGCAACGCCGCGUGGGGGAAGAAGGCCUUCGGGUUGUAAACCCCUUUCAGUUGGGACGAAGCUUCCAGGGUUAAUAGCUUUGUGGAGUGACGGUACCUUCAGAAGAAGCCCCGGCUAACUACGUGCCAGCAGCCGCCGUAACAC
RNAcentral lists this ribosomal RNA (512 nucleotides) under uncultured bacterium. RNAcentral describes it as "bacterial SSU rRNA". It matches the Rfam family "Bacterial small subunit ribosomal RNA", at positions 28 to 526 of the family's 1533-position model. The record is from RNAcentral.